This 505-nucleotide ribosomal RNA is filed under the name uncultured bacterium. RNAcentral's name for it is "partial 16S ribosomal RNA". It matches the Rfam family "Bacterial small subunit ribosomal RNA", at positions 28 to 507 of the family's 1533-position model. The record is from RNAcentral.
GACGAACGCUGGCGGCGUGCCUAAUACAUGCAAGUAGAACGCACAGUUUAUACCGUAGCUUGCUACGCCAUAGACUGUGAGUUGCGAACGGGUGAGUAACGCGUAGGUAACCUGCCUGGUAGCGGGGGAUAACUAUUGGAAACGAUAGCUAAUACCGCAUAAUAUUAAUUAUUGCAUGAUAAUUAAUUGAAAGGUGCAAUUGCACCACUACCAGAUGGACCUGCGUUGUAUUAGCUAGUAGGUGAGGUAACGGCUCACCUAGGCGACGAUACAUAGCCGACCUGAGAGGGUGAGCGGCCACACUGGGACUGAGACACGGCCCAGACUCCUACGGGAGGCAGCAGUAGGGAAUCUUCGGCAAUGGACGAAAGUCUGACCGAGCAACGCCGCGUGAGUGAAGAAGGUUUUCGGAUCGUAAAGCUCUGUUGUAAGAGAAGAACGGGUGUGAGAGUGGAAAGUUCACACUGUGACGGUAUCUUACCAGAAAGGGACGGCUAACUACGUG